CUCCCUGGAACUCGUUUUUCUUGGGUCUGUUAUGCAGCACAUGUUUCCAUUUUCAUGCUAACUUCUUCCCCCACCCAGCCAUUUUCUGCUGAUAACAAACAGGAGUCUUCGGCGCCCGAAAGCCAGCCGUGUGCUGAAAGAGGACAAAGCCACCUAGAAAAGGCAGUUCUGGUCCCUAAUAUAAAUGGCCCAGGCAAGCUGCAGCCCAGCGCUGAGGUGAUGGAGGGGAUUUACGACCCCUCCCAGAAGGAAGAUGCAACAGAUGUUGUCUGCGGUCUGAUUGCUGAGCUCUCUAAUCUCAAUCGCCUGAUAAUGAGCGCGCACAGGGAUCUGGAGUCUUUAAAGAGGCUGAAGUACAGAAAAAGCAGAAGGUCAGGGAAGUUUCCUCCUCACCCCCCCAGGGGGGCACCGACCGGUUUGAACACUGGAAAAAAAUGGAAGGACAUGUAGGGCUGUGCAGGCAGCCAGAGCCAGGGAAUUAGUAACUGCUGGAUUUAACAGUUUAUUAAUGCAACAACAAAAUAAUGUUUCAACAGAAUAACCAAAAAAUGGCAAAUAAAAUAACUUCAUAUGUGUAACAUAUAAAAUAUAUUUCAAUUAAACCAAAAGAGUCUUUUAAGACGUGCACUUUUCUACAAGGAAAAGACAGUUCUGAACUACUCGCCCGCUCCACAUUUGCAGGUGAGUUAUUAACCCUUAUCACCCUCUCUCAAAGCCAAGUAGGAGAACAACUAGGUUUUAAGGGCUAUUAAACUGCUGUGAAAGCAUUCAGAAACGGCCAGAACUGGCCCGUCCUCGCAAGGACGGUUCUGUUGACAUUCAUUCAGUGGAGGAGAACAAGACACAACUGCCCGAUGACUGAGGCAUCAGCUCUGCAGGGCGCACCGUUCCUCCGCGCUUGCGAACGCCCUGCCAGUCUGGCUGCGCUUGCAAAAACUUUUGGCAAGCAAGCAGAUUUUAGUGGCAAACACACUUUUUAAAACCCGACCCAACCCACAACUUAGAACUGAUUUCUGAACCAAACAAGAAAUAAGCUCCCCAACAGGGUUUUGCUGCUAUAACUGCCCCUUCUCUAGGCUUUUUGCCGGCACUGUUGU
Molecule: non-coding RNA, 1097 nt
Organism: Struthio camelus australis
Lineage: Eukaryota; Metazoa; Chordata; Aves; Struthioniformes; Struthionidae
Source: RefSeq, a predicted model, not a curated record